AGCAUAAUCAUUUGUCUUUUAAUUGAAGACUAGAACAAAAGAUUUAACAAUUCAAUUAAUAUCCAAAAUUAAUUAUUCUAAUUUAUUUUAAAUGUAAAAAAACACUUAUAAUAUAGGAAGACGACAAGACCCUAUUAAACUUAACUGUAGUUAAACUGGGGCAGUUAAUAAAUUAUUAUUUUAAUAAAAAUAUAAAUAAAAAUGAUCCUAUAAAACUGAAUAUAUGAACAAGUUACUAUAGGGAUAACAGCGUAAUAUUUAUCUAAAGAUCUUAUUCAAAUAAAAGAUUGCGACCUCGAUGUUGAAUUAAUAACCUAAAUUAUUGCAGUAAAUAAAUAAAGGAAGUC
This 347-nucleotide ribosomal RNA is filed under the name Sanogasta sp. MJR2018-1. RNAcentral describes it as "partial 16S ribosomal RNA". The record is from RNAcentral. Lineage: Eukaryota; Metazoa; Arthropoda; Arachnida; Araneae; Anyphaenidae.